This 74-nucleotide transfer RNA is filed under the name Clostridium novyi. RNAcentral's name for it is "tRNA-Gly". It matches the Rfam family "tRNA". Rfam says of the family: Transfer RNA (tRNA) molecules are approximately 80 nucleotides in length. Their secondary structure includes four short double-helical elements and three loops (D, anti-codon, and T loops). Further hydrogen bonds mediate the characteristic L-shaped molecular structure. tRNAs have two regions of fundamental functional importance: the anti-codon, which is responsible for specific mRNA codon recognition, and the 3' end, to which the tRNAs corresponding amino acid is attached (by aminoacyl-tRNA synthetases). tRNAs cope with the degeneracy of the genetic code in two manners: having more than one tRNA (with a specific anti-codon) for a particular amino acid; and 'wobble' base-pairing, i.e. permitting non-standard base-pairing at the 3rd anti-codon position. RNAcentral also lists the same sequence under 2 other names. The record is from RNAcentral. Lineage: Bacteria; Bacillati; Bacillota; Clostridia; Eubacteriales; Clostridiaceae.
GCGGGUAUGGUUCAAUGGUAGAACGUCAGCCUUCCAAGCUGAACACAGGGGUUCAAUUCCCCUUACCCGCUCCA